GCGCCUGUAGCUCAAAUGGAUAGAGCGCGACUCUCCUAAGGUUGAUGUGGCCGUUCGAUUCGGCCCAGGCGCA
Molecule: transfer RNA, 73 nt
Filed under: Candidatus Omnitrophota bacterium
Lineage: Bacteria; Pseudomonadati; Candidatus Omnitrophota
Description: Candidatus Omnitrophica bacterium (sediment metagenome) tRNA-Arg
Rfam family: tRNA
About the family: Transfer RNA (tRNA) molecules are approximately 80 nucleotides in length. Their secondary structure includes four short double-helical elements and three loops (D, anti-codon, and T loops). Further hydrogen bonds mediate the characteristic L-shaped molecular structure. tRNAs have two regions of fundamental functional importance: the anti-codon, which is responsible for specific mRNA codon recognition, and the 3' end, to which the tRNAs corresponding amino acid is attached (by aminoacyl-tRNA synthetases). tRNAs cope with the degeneracy of the genetic code in two manners: having more than one tRNA (with a specific anti-codon) for a particular amino acid; and 'wobble' base-pairing, i.e. permitting non-standard base-pairing at the 3rd anti-codon position.
Source: RNAcentral